RNAcentral lists this unclassified non-coding RNA (267 nucleotides) under uncultured fungus. RNAcentral's name for it is "sequence contains ITS1, 5.8S rRNA gene". The stretch from base 219 to 267 matches the Rfam family "5.8S ribosomal RNA", at positions 1 to 49 of the family's 154-position model. Lineage: Eukaryota; Fungi. The record is from RNAcentral.
UCUCCGUUGGUGAACCAGCGGAGGGAUCAUUGCUGGAAAACAGGCCUCCGGGCCCUACCCAGAAACCCUUUGUGAACUUAUACCUAAAUGUUGCCUCGGCACUGGUUGGCUUCUUUGGAAGUCCCUUGCUUUUACAGCGAGGAGCAGACCGGCCGGUGGCCCCCUAUAAACCUCUGUUUUUUGUAAAUCAUCUGAGUAAACAACUAUAAAUGAAUCAAAACUUUCAACAACGGAUCUCUUGGUUCUGGCAUCGAUGAAGAACGCAGC